This 74-nucleotide transfer RNA is filed under the name Pseudomonadota bacterium. Its description in RNAcentral is "tRNA-Met". It matches the Rfam family "tRNA". Rfam says of the family: Transfer RNA (tRNA) molecules are approximately 80 nucleotides in length. Lineage: Bacteria; Pseudomonadati; Pseudomonadota. RNAcentral also lists the same sequence under 5 other names. The record is from RNAcentral.
UGCGGGGUGGAGCAGCCUGGUAGCUCGUCGGGCUCAUAACCCGAAGGUCGCGGGUUCGAAUCCCGCCCCCGCUA